Molecule: ribosomal RNA, 603 nt
Filed under: uncultured archaeon
Lineage: Archaea
Description: bacterial SSU rRNA
Rfam family: Archaeal small subunit ribosomal RNA
Source: RNAcentral
UCCCUAUGGGGUGCAGCAGGCGCGAAAACUUUACAAUGCGGGAAACCGCGAUAAGGGGAUACUGAGUGCCAGCAUCUUAUGUUGGCUGUCCACCUGUAUAAACAGCAGGUGUUAGCAAGGGCCGGGCAAGACCGGUGCUAGCCGCCGCGGUAACACCGGCGGCCCGAGUGGUGACCACUAUUAUUGGGUCUAAAGGGUCCGUAGCCGGUUUGAUCAGUCUUCCGGGAAAUCUGACAGCUCAACUGUUAGGCUUCCGGGGGAUACUGUCAGACUUGGGACCGGGAGAGGUAAGAGGUACUACAGGGGUAGGAGUGAAAUCUUGUAAUCCUUGUGGGACCACCAGUGGCGAAGGCGUCUUACCAGAACGGGUCCGACGGUGAGGGACGAAAGCUGGGGGCACGAACCGGAUUAGAUACCCGGGUAGUCCCAGCUGUAAACGAUGCUCGCUAGGUGUCUGGGACGGUGCGACCGUUUCAGGUGCCGCAGGGAAGCCGUGAAGCGAGCCACCUGGGAAGUACGGCCGCAAGGCUGAAACUUAAAGGAAUUGGCGGGGGAGCACUACAACGGGUGGAGCCUGCGGUUUAAUUGGAUUCAACGCCGGAA